RNAcentral lists this ribosomal RNA (407 nucleotides) under uncultured Alphaproteobacteria bacterium. RNAcentral describes it as "bacterial SSU rRNA". It matches the Rfam family "Bacterial small subunit ribosomal RNA", at positions 355 to 776 of the family's 1533-position model. The record is from RNAcentral. Lineage: Bacteria; Pseudomonadati; Pseudomonadota; Alphaproteobacteria.
UAGGGAAUUUUGCGCAAUGGGGGAAACCCUGACGCAGCGACGCCACGUGAGUGAUGAAGGCUCUAGGGUUGUAAAGCUCUGUCCUUGGUGAACAAAAAAAUGAGGGUAACCAAGAAGAAAGAACCGGCUAACUUCGUGCCAGCAGCCGCGGUAAGACGAGGGGUUCAAGCGUUGUCCGGAAUUAUUGGGCGUAAAGCGGAUGUAGGUGGCCUUAUAAGUCAGAAGUGAAAGCCUCAGGCUUAACCUGAGAAGUGCUUUUGAUACUGUAGGGCUUGAGUAUGGAAGAGGGCAAUGGAAUUCCUGGUGUAGUGGUGAAAUACGUAGAUAUCAGGAGGAACACCGGAGGCGAAGGCGGUUGCCUGGUCCAUUACUGACAUUAAAAUCCGAAAGCGUGGGGAGCAAACAGG